Molecule: ribosomal RNA, 312 nt
Filed under: uncultured bacterium
Lineage: Bacteria
Description: partial 16S ribosomal RNA
Rfam family: Bacterial small subunit ribosomal RNA
Source: RNAcentral
UGGGGAAUAUUGGACAAUGGGGGCAACCCUGAUCCAGCAAUGCCGCGUGUGUGAAGAAGGUCUUCGGAUUGUAAAGCACUUUCGACGGGGACGAUGAUGACGGUACCCGUAGAAGAAGCCCCGGCUAACUUCGUGCCAGCAGCCGCGGUAAUACGAAGGGGGCUAGCGUUGCUCGGAAUGACUGGGCGUAAAGGGCGUGUAGGCGGUUUACACAGUCAGAUGUGAAAUCCCCGGGCUUAACCUGGGAGCUGCAUUUGAUACGUGUAGACUAGAGUGUGAGAGAGGGUUGUGGAAUUCCCANNNUGGUGAAAG